GACGAACGCUGGCGGCGUGCUUAACACAUGCAAGUCGAACGGAAAGGCCCUGCUUUUGUGGGGUGCUCGAGUGGCGAACGGGUGAGUAACACGUGAGUAACCUGCCCUUGACUUUGGGAUAACUUCAGGAAACUGGGGCUAAUACCGGAUAGGAGCUCCUGCUGCAUGGUGGGGGUUGGAAAGUUUCGGCGGUUGGGGAUGGACUCGCGGCUUAUCAGCUUGUUGGUGGGGUAGUGGCUUACCAAGGCUUUGACGGGUAGCCGGCCUGAGAGGGUGACCGGCCAAAUUGGGACUGAGGUACGGCCCAGACUCCCACGGGAGGCAACAGUGGGGAAUAUUGCACAAUGGGCCGAAGCCUGAUGCAGCCACGCCGCGUGCGGGAUGACGGCCUUCGGGUUGUAAACCGCUUUCGCCUGUGACGAAGCGUGAGUGACGGUAAUGGGUAAAGAAGCACCGGCUAACUACGUG
RNAcentral lists this ribosomal RNA (468 nucleotides) under uncultured bacterium. Its description in RNAcentral is "partial 16S ribosomal RNA". It matches the Rfam family "Bacterial small subunit ribosomal RNA", at positions 28 to 507 of the family's 1533-position model. The record is from RNAcentral.